UAGACGUGGGGGCACCCUGACCGCAAUGCCGCGUGAGUGAAGAAGGCCUUCGGGUUGUAAAGCUCCUUUGUCAGGGAAGAAACACCGGCUCUAACACAGUCCGGGAAUGACGGUACCUGAAGAAUAAGCACCGGCUAACUACGUGCCAGCAGCCGCGGUAAUACGUAGGGUGCAAGCGUUAAUCGGAAUUACUGGGCGUAAAGCGUGCGCAGGCGGUUAUACAAGACAGGCGUGAAAUCCCCGGGCUUAACCUGGGAAUGGCGCCUGUGACUGUAUAGCUAGAGUGUGUCAGAGGGGGGUAGAAUUCCACGUGUAGCAGUGAAAUGCGUAGAUAUGUGGAGGAAUACCAAUGGCGAAGGCAGCCCCCUGGGAUAACACUGACGCUCAUGCACGAAA
This 396-nucleotide ribosomal RNA is filed under the name uncultured bacterium. RNAcentral describes it as "bacterial SSU rRNA". It matches the Rfam family "Bacterial small subunit ribosomal RNA", at positions 366 to 758 of the family's 1533-position model. The record is from RNAcentral.